This 253-nucleotide ribosomal RNA is filed under the name uncultured bacterium. Its description in RNAcentral is "partial 16S ribosomal RNA". It matches the Rfam family "Bacterial small subunit ribosomal RNA", at positions 524 to 776 of the family's 1533-position model. The record is from RNAcentral.
UACGGAGGGUGCAAGCGUUAUCCGGAUUCACUGGGUUUAAAGGGUGCGUAGGAGGGUAGGUAAGUCAGUGGUGAAAUCUUCGAGCUUAACUCGGAAACUGCCGUUGAUACUAUCUAUCUUGAAUACCGUGGAGGUGAGCGGAAUAUGUCAUGUAGCGGUGAAAUGCUUAGAUAUGACAUAGAACACCAAUUGCGAAGGCAGCUCGCUACACGAAUAUUGACUCUGAGGCACGAAGGCGUGGGGAUCAAACAGG